Long non-coding RNA from Medicago truncatula (barrel medic), 1019 nucleotides. RefSeq lists it as uncharacterized. The transcript has 2 exons. The record is from RefSeq and is a predicted model, not a curated record. NCBI's taxonomy places the organism in Eukaryota, Viridiplantae, Streptophyta, Magnoliopsida, Fabales, Fabaceae.
CUUAGGCUUCAAUUUUGCUCCUAGCUCUUCUCCCAACCCUUGAUUCUUCAAGUCCUCUUCUCUCUAACCCUUUUCUCCUCUUUCUCCCACUUUCUCUCUCUAUUCUCUCCAAAAAUAUCUUAUGAAUGAAAGUAUGAGGAAAUUUCUCAUAAGUGUAGGUUUUUAUAUCAAGUCUCCUUAAUGGACCCAACCCUCCACUUAAUGGACUUAACCCAUUUCUAUUUACAUCUUGAAUGUUUCUACACUCUAACGGUAAUUCACUAAACCUUAAAUAUUACUCUAGUAACUUAGUAAAACAUCGGUUCUCACUACUCACCAAAAGUAAUUCUCACCAAAACUUAUAAUUUACCUGUUCUCACAAAAUGACCAAAAUACCCUUCUAACACAGAAACAAUGAAAAUGCACCUAAUGAUGAAUAAUCACACACAAACACAUAAAACACAUAAUAAAAAUAAUUAAAAUAAAUCUAGCUAAAAAUCGGGUUGUUACACCUUAUACAUUAUAAAUUUAUCAAUGACAGACUUGGAGGAAAAAAGAGUAUACUGUUCUUGCUUACUCUUAAAUGAAAUAAAUAAAAAUGAACUUAUAAAUCAACAAUUGGAGUUGCCUUAAUCAGAAAGAAAAUUCUAACCCUAACAAUUGAAGUAAACAAACAAACGAGAGAAGUUGAAUUCAGGGCUUCAGAGAUUUAUUUUCAAAUUACAAUAAGGAGGAUGCACCGGAAGAAGUCGAAUUUUUAUUAAACAUGAGAAAAUCUAUCUCAUAUUUAAUGUUUAGGGUUUAUUUGAUUUCUUCCUUUUAAAAUGAUCAGCAGGCUGGCUAGCAGGAUGUAACAAGCUUGUGGCCGAAUGGAUAUUCAGCAAGGAUUCGUUUGUACCCUCUGCAUGAUGUUCUUUAUGGAUUUAAGAGUGUUUUACUAUAUUUUGGAUAGAUAGUGUUGUAUUAUUCUAUGUAUGAACGCGAAUUGUUGUGUAUAAUAUUCAUUCGAAUUCUUUAUGUUGUAAAUUUUAAUGUAUCCA